GUAUGAUGUCAUAAGCCUGCGCCGCGCUGUCUGUGAUUCGGCUGAGGAAAGAGUGUUCAAACAAAGAGGAGAGUGAAGGCAUGAAGAUUGAAGAAGUAUUCAGUGUGAAACAAGAAGAUACAGAGGAACAAACAAAGAUGACUUUUAUUAAAGAGGAGAGUGAAGCUGUGAAGAUUGAAGAAACAUUUGGAGUGGAAGAAGAAGAUACUGAGGAACAAACAACGAUGGCAUUUAUUAAAGAGGAGAGUGAAGACCUGAAGAUUGAAGAGGUAUUCAGUCUGAAACAUGAAGAUACUGAGGAACAAACAAAGAUGGCAUUUAUGAAAGAAGAGAGUGAAGAAGACACGAAGAUUGAAGAAACAUUUAGUGUAAAACAAGAAGACACUGAGGAACAAACAAAGAUGAUAUUAAUGGGCUCGGUCCACAAGAUGGCGCCUGUAAACUUAUGGGAUGGAAGUGUGUGCAUACUUAGUUCCAGUUGUAAUAACACUGUGAGGGAAGAGGAGAAAAAAACAAAUAUGAGCGAGUUUAAAGUAAAAAAUAAACUAACCUAUCAGCGACAGGAGAGAAGAUCAUCACUACAUUGCUGCGUACCUCAAUGCGCUAAUUCAUCUCGUUACAACGGCAAGAUAAGCUUUCAUUUGUUCCCGAUUGACUCUGAAGUUCGGGCUCAGUGGUUGGCCAAAAUUCGCAGGGACCACUUCAGUCCUACAAGAAACACUAGAGUGUGUAGUGUACAUUUCCAACGUGAUGAUUUUAUUUUGACUACUAAGGGACUAAGAAAACUUAAAAAGGGAACUGUCCCUUCUAUUUUUGCAUGGAAUCACGAUCAUAGACAGUGAAUGUUUGGGAGAUUCUUUUUCAAGGAAAGUCUGUUCACUCGGCAUCCAUAUUUGCAACGCCUCCAGGCAGCUAUUUGGGGCAUCCAAGACCAAGCCUUAUAUAUUUGAAUAGGGGAAUCCUGAAAUCUCAAACUGCUUGGUGAACUCUCAAUUGAACAGCAUAUUUCAAAUCAGCAACAACAUCUGACAUGAACUGUCCCAUGAAUGUUGUUUCUUAUGCUUAAAUAGCAAUGAAAAAGCCUUCAGGCUAGAUGAGCCAAUGCGCACGUGCAGUCCUAAGUGGGAGUCUCAGGUUUCUCUGGGAACCGGAGCUUCUAACGGCAGCUGCAGUGAUGCAACGACUUUACCAAUCAGCGAUUGGCGUUGGUCUUUCUAUAUCUAUAGUCUUUGGUGAAACUCAAAAAUGGCACCUGCUCAUGACUACUGUCAAUCCAGCAACAUCAGCAAUGGCAAGUAAACUGACCAUAAGUUAUGAGGAAUUGAAGAAUAAAGUGGAGGAAGUAACAACAUCAGCUAACAACUGUGCAGUUGCAGUCCCGUUUUGGGUCGCAAUGCAUCGCUGGAGAUGACAAGAAUAUUCGUUUUUACACCAGGUUUGCCUCAUACAAGCAUUUCUUGGCUUUUUGGCAACUGGUGGAGCCUGCUGCGAAAAAUAAGAUGAUGCAGAUCACCAGGACAAAGACCUGCCAGCUUUGAGGAACUGACCCAACCAAAAGCAAUGGUAUGGAAGUAAAUGGUGGUAAAAUAGUGGGUAAAGGCCUGUUCACACCAAGAAAGAUAACUAUAUUUGCGCCCAUACCAACGAACAAUAACGGUAUGUUUAUUCGAAACUCAUGCGCUUGCAGUUUCAAAAUGUUUUUGCUGUUCUUGUUGCAUUUACACAGCUUUAACCAGCAGAUGUCCUCAGCAUGCUAUGUUUGAGUGAAUAGCUAGUGUAACCAAUAUAGUUUAACAGUGAAUUUAGCUGACAAAGUCAAUAUAGUGGACUAAAAACAACGCCUAGUCUUUCUCACUGCAACCUCGAAGGAAGCAAGACGAUGUUGUCGAAACUAGAUACCUGAGGUAAUUAUAUGUUACACUGUUUGUUUUCCAUAUAUAUUCAUUCUCUUUAAAGUAUCCUUGAAAAGGGGGUUUGACUUGUCAAACAGUGGUGGCUUUUUCUGGACCUCUGCGAUUCUCAGCCGGUUUAAAUGCGCAAGCCCUUAAAUUAUAAUGGAUUCUGAUUGGCUGUCAGUGUUUUAUCGUUCAACCGCUGGAAAAAAAUAGUUCUGAAAGUGAUCCCAACGAUAUCGUUUCUCUAUAUCAUUAUUGUUGUAGCCAUGGUGUGAACAGUGCCAUCCUUUUAUAUUUAGAACGAUUUAUAUAAUAUCUUUAUCGUUAUUGUUUUUAGUGUGAUAUGUUCUUAACAUUUUACAAAGAAAGUUACAUAUGUCAUUAUUAGUUACUGCAACAUGGAAUAAAUAAACAACCAUCAAAACUGGUCAGUUCAGUACCUCAGUUGUGACAUAUCAGACACAUAUUGCCAAUUGCUCUGAUUGUGCUUCAUCUGCCAUAAUGGCGUACAUCUUUGAUUCUGACAUUUCUGACUAUUGUUGCAGUCACUUUUUGUGAACAGCAAGUGAUCAUCUCAUUUUGACUUUGACUAAGUAGUGUUUGAUGAGGGUUUGUACCUCUGCAAAAAUGGAUCAAACUGGGUCAAUAAAGACAUAAACUUUAGGAAGUUACCCUUAUUAUCGCUGUCCUUAAUUUCAUCGUGACCUCUAAACGGUAUCCCUUGUUUACCCAACAUGCAGGUCACAGCUACAGCCACACAUACUCCCUUUGACGUAUCUCCUCUACAUUUUCUGCUUCUAUCAGACAGAUGGAGUACAAUCAAAGAGUAUUGAACUACCGUCUCUCUAUGGCACGACGAGAAUGCAUUUUUCAGGUCGACAAUAUGCUUGGAGCCAGACAAGGUGGUGAAGAUAACAAUGGCAUUCCCUGUGCAUCCACAGCUUGCUCUAAAGAGCGCAGGUCCGAGGCAUAUACACCCAGCCUUUGCAGAUUGAGAGAACACUGACCGCAACAUGGUUGAUUGAGUCUGGAAGAAUCAUGGGAUGGGGGCUUUUCAGCCGAUGGAGCAUAGAAGAGAGUGCAAUAAUUUAACAGUAACAGCAAAAAUGAUAUGAAAUAUUCUGUGGGACUAUUUUGUUUCACCAGCAGGUUGCAUUUCUUGGCAGGAGCAACACAUUUAGAAAAGUACAGAUGUCAAGAUAUUACAUUUUUUUGUGUAGCAUUUUUUGUGUUUUGUCUGUAAAUACAUCCUUUUUGUUGUGUGUAUUGCAUUGCCUUUUGAUGUUGAAAGUUCUAUAUCAAUAAAGAUGUGGUUCAGUUAU
Molecule: long non-coding RNA, 3217 nt
Organism: Megalobrama amblycephala (Wuchang bream)
Lineage: Eukaryota; Metazoa; Chordata; Actinopteri; Cypriniformes; Xenocyprididae
Exons: 3
Source: RefSeq, a predicted model, not a curated record